RNAcentral lists this ribosomal RNA (918 nucleotides) under uncultured bacterium. RNAcentral describes it as "bacterial SSU rRNA". It matches the Rfam family "Bacterial small subunit ribosomal RNA", at positions 33 to 942 of the family's 1533-position model. The record is from RNAcentral.
ACGCUGGCGGCAGGCUUAACACAUGCAAGUCGAACGGUAACAGGAAUUAGCUUGCUAAUUUGCUGACGAGUGGCGGACGGGUGAGUAAUGCUUGGGAAUCUGGCUUAUGGAGGGGGAUAACUACGGGAAACUGUAGCUAAUACCGCGUAAAAUCUUCGGAUUAAAGGGUGGGACUUUCGAGCCACCUGCCAUAAGAUGAGCCCAGGUGGGAUUAGGUAGUUGGUUAGGUAAAGGCUGACCAAGCCGACGAUCUCUAGCUGGUCUGAGAGGAUGACCAGCCACACUGGAACGGAGACACGGUCCAGACUCCUACGGGAGGCAGCAGUGGGGAAUAUUGCACAAUGGGGGGAACCCUGAUGCAGCCAUGCCGCGUGUAUGAAGAAGGCCUUCGGGUCGUAAAGUUCUUUCGGUGACGAGGAAGGUUGAUAGGUUAAUAGCCUAUCAAAUUGACGUUAAUCACAGAAGAAGCACCGGCUAACUCCGUGCCAGCAGCCGCGGUAAUACGGGGGGUGCGAGCGUUAAUCGGAAUAACUGGGCGUAAAGGGCACGCAGGCGGUGACUUAAGUGAGAUGUGAAAGCCCCGAGCUUAACUUGGGAAUUGCAUUUCAUACUGGGUCGCUAGAGUACUUUAGGGAGGGGUAGAAUUCCACGUGUAGCGGUGAAAUGCGUAGAGAUGUGGAGGAAUACCGAAGGCGAAGGCAGCCCCUUGGGAAUGUACUGACGCUCAUGUGCGAAAGCGUGGGGAGCAAACAGGAUUAGAUACCCUGGUAGUCCACGCUGUAAACGAUGUCGAUUUGGGGAUUGGGCUUUGAGCUUGGUGCCCGUAGCUAACGUGAUAAAUCGACCGCCUGGGGAGUACGGCCGCAAGGUUAAAACUUAAAUGAAUUGACGGGGGCCCGCACAAGCGGUGGAGCAUGU